CGGCUCACCAGGCGACGAUCCCUAGCUGGUCUGAGAGGAUGACCAGCCACACUGGAACUGAGACACGGUCCAGACUCCUACGGGAGGCAGCAUG
Molecule: ribosomal RNA, 94 nt
Filed under: uncultured bacterium
Lineage: Bacteria
Description: partial 16S ribosomal RNA
Rfam family: Bacterial small subunit ribosomal RNA
Source: RNAcentral